CGAUUGAACGCUGGCGGCAUGCCUUACACAUGCAAGUCGAACGGUAACAGGUUAAGCUGACGAGUGGCGAACGGGUGAGUAAUAUAUCGGAACGUGCCCAAUCGUGGGGGAUAACGCAGCGAAAGUUGUGCUAAUACCGCAUAAGAUCUACGGAUGAAAGCGGGGGAUCGCAAGACCUCGCGCGAGUGGAGCGGCCGAUAUCAGAUUAGCUAGUUGGUGGGGUAAAGGCCCACCAAGGCGACGAUCUGUAGCUGGUCUGAGAGGACGACCAGCCACACUGGGACUGAGACACGGCCCAGACUCCUACGGGAGGCAGCAGUGGGGAAUUUUGGACAAUGGGCGCAAGCCUGAUCCAGCAAUGCCGCGUGCAGGAUGAAGGCCUUCGGGUUGUAAACUGCUUUUGUACGGAGCGAAAAGGUCUGCCCUAAUACGGUGGGCUCAUGACGGUACCGUAAGAAUAAGCACCGGCUAACUACGUG
This 479-nucleotide ribosomal RNA is filed under the name uncultured bacterium. RNAcentral describes it as "bacterial SSU rRNA". It matches the Rfam family "Bacterial small subunit ribosomal RNA", at positions 27 to 507 of the family's 1533-position model. The record is from RNAcentral.